This 492-nucleotide long non-coding RNA is filed under the name Naja naja (Indian cobra). RNAcentral describes it as "lncRNA (ENSNNAG00000009501.1)". Lineage: Eukaryota; Metazoa; Chordata; Lepidosauria; Squamata; Elapidae. The record is from RNAcentral.
UUUGGGGAAAAAAAACCGAAGGAAGAACUUUUGUCGGGUUUUAGUUUAGUUGCGAAAUGACUUCUGGGACAGGUCGUUCAAAUGCUUCGAUGGAGGCGUAAGCUCCCACAGGCUUUUUCGGAGCGAGAAAACUUCUCAUCCCAUCAAGCAACGGGAAAGCGACGACAGGAACGGCGCGCCGAAUCCGGAACCGAGCGACAGGAGCUGCGCGCGCAGGUGGGAGAAACGGGCCCGCGCAGUUGAGAUAGCAAGGAUCAAGACUACUAUGGAAGAUUUUGAUGGGGACUUCAGUCACAGAAAAGCCAUUAUGUCUGAAUUAUGUUGCAAUCAGAUUGCUGCAAACAUCCUGGUACAGGAUCUCAGAACCUUGGUGGCUUUUACUGACCCAGAGGAUGGAAUACUGGUUCAUACUCCAGAUGGAGGUGUUAAACAUUCUCUGAGAAACAGCUGAAAAAAGUAUUUGGGUGCAGAAAGACCCAAAUCAAGGCAGUA